CUAAAGUAUUGCCACAGUUGCGAGUGACAACUCAAACCCAAAGGUGGUCCAAUGUCUCAUCAUCAAUUCAUCAUCAUCAUCAUCAUCAUCAUCCCCAUCUUCCUCUUCUUCAUCCUCUUUCUCAUUGUCUUAUAAAAAAAGGAAAUUAAUUAACUGUUUCUGGUUAGAUGAUGACAAAGGAAACUCAGAGUGAAAAGAAAAAGAAACAAGAGUAAUAAAGGAACAAGAGGAAAUAAGACGGGCCAGGUUGUCCAUAAACCUCAACACUUUAAAGAGGGUUUUCACAAUUAAAAAUUAACUACUGUAUGUAUGGAGGUUUGAUGGGUUUGGAUUUGGAGAGUAUUUAAUUAUUUUUCCUUUUACGAGUGAAAGUGAAGUUUCUUUUCAAGCAUAACUCAGUUUCCUUUAGAAAGGAUACCCUCAACAAAACAAAACAACAGAAAUAAGUUAAAGAUUAUGGCUAAAUUUCGUGGACUUUUCUGAUGGUACGUGUGAAGAUGGACUUGGCACGUGCCAAUCACGAGUGUUUUAUGUGAUUUUUUUGGCCUUGAGUUUUGGCCUAACUAUAUAAUACAGGACUCCAUUGCUUGGUGUCCAAUGCGUGUGAUGGGAAACACGUGUAUAUAGUUUUUUUUUUAUUAUAUACUUGCAUUUUUUAUUGGUUUUGAAAGAGAGGUAAACUCUCUUUACAUAGUGGCUUUGNNN
Molecule: long non-coding RNA, 705 nt
Filed under: Trifolium pratense (red clover)
Lineage: Eukaryota; Viridiplantae; Streptophyta; Magnoliopsida; Fabales; Fabaceae
Description: long non-coding RNA (TPRA_LNC005615)
Source: RNAcentral